UACCUACGGGAGGCAGCAGUGGGGAAUAUUGCACAAUGGGGGAAACCCUGAUGCAGCGACGCCGCGUGAGUGAAGAAGUAUCUCGGUAUGUAAAGCUCUAUCAGCAGGGAAGAAAAUGACGGUACCUGACUAAGAAGCCCCGGCUAACUACGUGCCAGCAGCCGCGGUAAUACGUAUGGGGCAAGCGUUAUCCGGAUUUACUGGGUGUAAAGGGAGCGUAGGCGGCAGGGCAAGCCUGAUGUGAAAGCCCGGGGCUCAACCCCGGGACUGCAUUGGGAACUGCCCCGCUCGAGUGCCGGAGGGGG
Molecule: ribosomal RNA, 305 nt
Filed under: uncultured bacterium
Lineage: Bacteria
Description: bacterial SSU rRNA
Rfam family: Bacterial small subunit ribosomal RNA
Source: RNAcentral